CCUACGGGGGGCAGCAGUAAGGGAUAUUGGUCAAUGGGGGAAACCCUGAACCAGCAACGCCGCGUGAGGGAAGACGGUUUUCGGAUUGUAAACCUCUGUCCUCUGUGAAGAUGAUGACGGUAGCAGAGGAGGAAGCUCCGGCUAACUACGUGCCAGCAGCCGCGGUAAUACGUAGGGUGCGAGCGUUAUCCGGAUUUAUUGGGUUUAAAGGGUGCGUAGGCGGAAUAUCAAGUCAGCGGUAAAAAUUCGGGGCUCAACCCCGUCGUGCCGUUGAAACUGAUGUUCUUGAGUGGGCGAGAAGUAUG
Molecule: ribosomal RNA, 305 nt
Filed under: uncultured bacterium
Lineage: Bacteria
Description: bacterial SSU rRNA
Rfam family: Bacterial small subunit ribosomal RNA
Source: RNAcentral